GAUGAAGAACGUAGCGAAAUGCGAUAAGUAAUGUGAAUUGCAGAAUUUAGUGAAUCAUCGAAUGUUUGAACGCACAUUGCGCCCCCUGGUAUUCCGGGGGGCAUGCCUGUCCGAGCGUCAUUGCUGCCCUCAAGCACGGCUUGUGUGUUGGGCCUCCGUCCUCCUCCCGGGGGACGGGCCCGAAAGGCAGCGGCGGCACCGCGUCCGGUCCUCGAGCGUAUGGGGCUUCGUCACCCGCUCUUGUAGGCCCGGCCGGCGCUUGCCGACACAUCAAUCUUUUUUCCAGGUUGACCUCGGAUCAGGUAGGGAUACCCGCUGAACUUAAGCAUAUCAAUAAGCGGAGGA
RNAcentral lists this unclassified non-coding RNA (345 nucleotides) under soil metagenome. RNAcentral's name for it is "partial contains 5.8S ribosomal RNA, internal transcribed spacer 2, and large subunit ribosomal RNA". The stretch from base 1 to 120 matches the Rfam family "5.8S ribosomal RNA", at positions 35 to 154 of the family's 154-position model. The record is from RNAcentral.